RNAcentral lists this ribosomal RNA (727 nucleotides) under uncultured bacterium. Its description in RNAcentral is "bacterial SSU rRNA". It matches the Rfam family "Bacterial small subunit ribosomal RNA", at positions 789 to 1515 of the family's 1533-position model. The record is from RNAcentral.
GGUAGUCCACGCCGUAAACAAUGUCGACUUGGAGGUUGUGCCCUUGAGGCGUGGCUUCCGGAGCUAACGCGUUAAGUCGACCGCCUGGGGAGUACGGCCGCAAGGUUAAAACUCAAAUGAAUUGACGGGGGCCCGCACAGGCGGUGGAGCAUGUGGUUUAAUUCGAUGCAACGCGAAGAACCUUACCUACUCUUGACAUCCAGAGAACUUAGCAGAGAUGCUUUGGUGCCUUCGGGAACUCUGAGACAGGUGCUGCAUGGCUGUCGUCAGCUCGUGUUGUGAAAUGUUGGGUUAAGUCCCGCAACGAGCGCAACCCUUAUCCUUUGUUGCCAGCGGUUAGGCCGGGAACUCAAAGGAGACUGCCAGUGAUAAACUGGAGGAAGGUGGGGAUGACGUCAAGUCAUCAUGGCCCUUACGAGUAGGGCUACACACGUGCUACAAUGGCGCAUACAAAGAGAAGCGACCUCGCGAGAGCAAGCGGACCUCAUAAAGUGCGUCGUAGUCCGGAUUGGAGUCUGCAACUCGACUCCAUGAAGUCGGAAUCGCUAGUAAUCGUAGAUCAGAAUGCUACGGUGAAUACGUUCCCGGGCCUUGUACACACCGCCCGUCACACCAUGGGAGUGGGUUGCAAAAGAAGUAGGUAGCUUAACCUUCGGGAGGGCGCUUACCACUUUGUGAUUCAUGACUGGGGUGAAGUCGUAACAAGGUAACCGUAGGGGAACCCUGC